ACGUGCCAGCAGCCGCGGUAAGACGUAGGACGCGAGCGUUAUCCGGAUUUACUGGGCGUAAAGCGCCUGCAGGCGGUCAGGUAAGUCGGUUGUGAAAGCCCCGUGCUCAACGCGGGGAGGCCAAGCGAUACUGCGUGACUUGAGGGCGGAAGAGGGGAGUGGAAUUCCCGGUGUAGCGGUAAAAUGCGCAGAUAUCGGGAGGAACACCAGUGGCGAAGGCGGCUCCCUGGACCGCACCUGACGCUCAGAGGCGAAAGCUAGGGGAGCGAACAGGAUUAGAGACCCUGGUAGUCCUAGCCCUAAACGCUGGGUGCUAGGUGUAGGGCUGAUGAGGCUCUGUGCCGGAGCGAACGCGAUAAGCAUCCCGCCUGGGAACUACGGCCGCAAGGCUAAAACUCAAACGAAUUGACGGGGACCCGCACAAGCAGCGGAGCGUGUGGUUUAAUUCGAUGCUACACGAAGAACCUUACCUGGGUUUGACAUGCUGGUGGUACCGAACCGAAAGGGGAGGGACCCUUCGGGGAGCCAACACAGGUGCUGCAUGGCUGUCGUCAGCUCGUGCCGUGAGGUGUCGGGUUAAGUCCCGUAACGAGCGCAACCCUUGCUCUUAGUUAUACGUGUCUAAGGGGACUGCCGGCGACAAGCCGGAGGAAGGUGGGGAUGACGUCAAGUCAGCAUGGCCUUGAUAUCCAGGGCUACACACACGCUACAAUGGCCGGUACAAAGGGCAGCCAAGCCGCGAGGUGGAGCGAAUCCCAGCAAAGCCGGUCCCAGUUCGGAUUGCAGGCUGCAACCCGCCUGCAUGAAGUUGGAGU
RNAcentral lists this ribosomal RNA (815 nucleotides) under uncultured organism. RNAcentral's name for it is "bacterial SSU rRNA". It matches the Rfam family "Bacterial small subunit ribosomal RNA", at positions 503 to 1332 of the family's 1533-position model. The record is from RNAcentral.